RNAcentral lists this non-coding RNA (130 nucleotides) under Castor canadensis (American beaver). RNAcentral describes it as "Small Cajal body specific RNA 16 (ENSCCNG00000022790.1)". It matches the Rfam family "Small Cajal body specific RNA 16", at positions 56 to 187 of the family's 187-position model. Rfam says of the family: scaRNAs are a specific class of small nuclear RNAs which localise to the Cajal bodies and guide the modification of RNA polymerase II transcribed spliceosomal RNAs U1, U2, U4, U5 and U12. ACA47 belongs to the H/ACA box class of guide RNAs as it has the predicted hairpin-hinge-hairpin-tail structure, the conserved H/ACA-box motifs and is found associated with GAR1. Lineage: Eukaryota; Metazoa; Chordata; Mammalia; Rodentia; Castoridae. The record is from RNAcentral.
UUCAUCCAGGCAGCCUGACCUUGACCUAAAGUAAAUUUCCAGGGAAGUCUUUCCUGGGAUUUGAAUUUGCAGUAACAGGUGUGAGGUUCUUUCAGUAGUUUGAUGAUCCUACAUGAUACUGCAAACAGGA